UCCGCCCACAUGUCCAACAGGUCUGGUUGGAGUCUCGGUCUCAGCAUCCCCUCAUCCCUCAUCACUGCUUUACUUGUUCAAAAUGUCCACAUUACAAACACCUACAAACAUGUCAGACCUGCUGCUACCAGACUCUUCAGUGUCCUCUGCAUGUAAAUGUGUAGUUGGGUGGUGUCAGCAGUGAGGGGGAAACAGCAGGACAUGUUGAGGACAGCUACAGUCCACUGACUCUGUGUGUUUGCAUAUGUGUCCUGCCUCUGUGCUCCCAGCCGUUAAGAGGCCAGUGUUGAUCAGUGGCUGUCCAGGCCUUUCAGAGCCACUGACCUGCCGGCAGCACAAUGAUGAUGUCCCUGAUCCUACUGCUGCUCACCCUGGGGCUCCUUGUUCAGGAUUCAUCAGGAGAAAUCAUCCUGACUCAGUCUCCUCAGACUCAGUCUGUUGUUCCAGGACAGACUGUCUCCAUCAGCUGUAAAGCCAGUUCAAGUGUUAGUGCUGACAUGCAGUGGUACCUUCAGAAAGCUGGAGGAGCUCCUCAACUCUUAAUUUAUUAUGAUACAACUCGUUACUCUGGAGUUCCUGAUCGUUUCAGUGGAAGUGGAUCUGGGACUGACUUCACUCUGACCAUCAGUGGAGUUCAGGGUGAAGAUUCAGGAGUUUAUUACUGUCAGCAGUCUGAGAGCCGCCCGUUCACACAGUGAAACAACGUCGUACAAAAACCUCCUCAGCUGGAGAGGAACUGAUCUGAAUCAACAGCUGCACAGAAACUGAAACAACACUGUGUUAAUUCAAAAAUGUUUAAUUAUAAUUUACUGAACACUUUUAGUUAAAGUGACAUGAAAACAUUUUUGACUGUGAUCUGUAAGCUCUGUUGUAGUAUGAUUUCAAUUCCUUAUUUGGUUUAUUUCACAUGUGAACACUGAAAGUGUAAUUUUUUAAAUCUCUUUACCGUUGUCAUAAACAGUUAAAUACUUUUCAGUUAUUAUACCAAAUUGCAUCUCAUCAAUGGCACAUUUA
Non-coding RNA from Scatophagus argus, 1014 nucleotides. NCBI's taxonomy places the organism in Eukaryota, Metazoa, Chordata, Actinopteri, Scatophagidae. The record is from the annotation of a RefSeq genome assembly.